GGCCCUGUAGUGUAGAGGUUAUCACAUGGGAUUCUGACCGUUCAACACGAUUUCCCAUAACCCAGGUUCGAGUCCUGGCAGGGCCU
This is a non-coding RNA of Cerrena zonata, 86 nucleotides long. The record is from the annotation of a GenBank genome assembly. NCBI's taxonomy places the organism in Eukaryota, Fungi, Basidiomycota, Agaricomycetes, Polyporales, Cerrenaceae.